GUGUCAUGCCCAGUCCAACUCUUCCCAGAGGCAGUACUCACAGCCACCAGCAACUGCAGAUGAUCUUCACUUCUCCUUCCACUGUUCUAGGAAAAGUCCUGGAACGGAAUCCCAUUGGCUGACUUAGAUCAUUGCCCAUGCCUGAUCCAAUCACCAUGAACAAGGCUGGAGUGCUCUGUCAGGCUGUGUCCUGUCCCCCUUGAAUCAAAAGGGUGGACAACCAAGGCUCAGAGAAGAAGAGGGAACUGCCCACAGGCACACAAUGAACACAUCAUCAUAGAACCAGGUCUCCAGGCCAGGGACUCAGGUUGCCACAUUCCAGCCCAGAGGGAGUUAGUUACCAGUGAGCAUUGACCAGAUUUGUGACUUGAUGUCUGCACUGAACUUUGUGUUAAACUUGGCGUGGGCCCUGCUCAGUCUCUGGAGCAUGCAGAAGUCUCUCCGUGGAAC
Molecule: long non-coding RNA, 450 nt
Organism: Galeopterus variegatus (Sunda flying lemur)
Lineage: Eukaryota; Metazoa; Chordata; Mammalia; Dermoptera; Cynocephalidae
Exons: 3
Source: RefSeq, a predicted model, not a curated record